GACCCAGUAGCUCAGCAGGCAGAGCACCUGCCUUUUAAGCAGGGUGUCCGGCGUUCGAAUCGCCGCUGGGUCACCA
RNAcentral lists this transfer RNA (76 nucleotides) under Oscillospiraceae bacterium. Its description in RNAcentral is "tRNA-Lys". It matches the Rfam family "tRNA". Rfam says of the family: Transfer RNA (tRNA) molecules are approximately 80 nucleotides in length. Their secondary structure includes four short double-helical elements and three loops (D, anti-codon, and T loops). Lineage: Bacteria; Bacillati; Bacillota; Clostridia; Eubacteriales; Oscillospiraceae. The record is from RNAcentral.